GAGAUGGUUCUUCUUACUCUACCAAAGCCAACAGUUGACAUCUACUGGAAAUUCUGCUAUUCUCUCUCUCUGUCUCUCUCUCUUUUUUUUACUAAGACUUUCAAUCUAUUAAAAUGUAAAUGCCUCUAAAAAAACUUAACUAGCAGUCAGUUAUAUCUUGGGAAUAAAGUGGAUAUUGUGUGUACCCCCCUGCUCAACAUAAGGAGAGGGUAUGGCGAGAUGCAACCAAUUGGGGAACUAUUUGCCUGAUUCUCUCUUGCAAACGCUUCCUGACUGUAUUUACUAAGAAGCUAAUGUUACUGCUCUUCAGAUGUUAUGGUUUCAUCUCCCACGUCGGCUGAAAGUACCUCACUCAGUCACACUACUCUCAAUCCUCCGAUGGAAGCUUGAAAUAGCAGAAGCUCAAACCACGGAAUGGAGGCAGUUCUUUCCUGCCUCUGCUGUCCAUCAUUUCCCCAAUUGUACCGGGUUGCUUGAAAACAUUAGAUUCUUCCGUUGCUGUGCUGUAGUUUCAAGUGAGUCCUCCAGGUGGCGCUCAAGUCUUAUUCAGAGUAGGUACGGCCAUUGUCCCCAAAGCCUCAGCCUAAUUGUGUUGGUCCUAGUGUUUCGCUUGAUGACUUGGCAAAGAAAACAUAGAACUAUUUUCUGUUUAUAUAAAACGACUUUCACAAAUGACCAUUAAACAUUUUGUAAAUGGGUUGUUGUACUCUCAACAGCUACCUUGUGUUUUUUUGACAAGGUCUGUCUUAAAGAUAAGUUUUAUCUAGACAAACAUUAGGAGACCAGGAUACUUCAUAGCCACCUAGAAGUAGAAAAAUAUAAAAGCCUAAAAAAAGAAAUCUCCCUACCCAAACUCCCAAAAUACCUGCCCCUCCUCAAAUCCCCACUUGGUAGUAAAUCAAAUUGCACCUCCCUCCCCUCAAAAGCUAUGGAGUUGAUUUUUCUGAGGACUUCAAUCUAAUUGAAUAAAUGUUUCUGAUCUCAUGGACAAUGGUGUUAAAUAUUCCAAACUUUUGAACUGAUGGAUUACAUUUUUUGAAACCUAAAAAUUAUGAAUCACACUAUUGUAUACUGUGUGUGCUCGAGUCUUUUGUGGCCCCU
This 1101-nucleotide long non-coding RNA is filed under the name Capra hircus (goat). Its description in RNAcentral is "lncRNA (ENSCHIG00010013288.1)". Lineage: Eukaryota; Metazoa; Chordata; Mammalia; Artiodactyla; Bovidae. The record is from RNAcentral.